GCCCUUGUAGCUCAAUCGGUAGAGCAGUUGGCUCUUAACCAUCAGGUUCUCGGUUCAAUCCCGAGCGGGGGCACCA
Molecule: transfer RNA, 76 nt
Filed under: Clostridia bacterium
Lineage: Bacteria; Bacillati; Bacillota; Clostridia
Description: tRNA-Lys
Rfam family: tRNA
About the family: Transfer RNA (tRNA) molecules are approximately 80 nucleotides in length. Their secondary structure includes four short double-helical elements and three loops (D, anti-codon, and T loops). Further hydrogen bonds mediate the characteristic L-shaped molecular structure. tRNAs have two regions of fundamental functional importance: the anti-codon, which is responsible for specific mRNA codon recognition, and the 3' end, to which the tRNAs corresponding amino acid is attached (by aminoacyl-tRNA synthetases). tRNAs cope with the degeneracy of the genetic code in two manners: having more than one tRNA (with a specific anti-codon) for a particular amino acid; and 'wobble' base-pairing, i.e. permitting non-standard base-pairing at the 3rd anti-codon position.
Source: RNAcentral